This 468-nucleotide ribosomal RNA is filed under the name uncultured bacterium. Its description in RNAcentral is "partial 16S ribosomal RNA". It matches the Rfam family "Bacterial small subunit ribosomal RNA", at positions 28 to 507 of the family's 1533-position model. The record is from RNAcentral.
GACGAACGCUGGCGGCGUGCUUAACACAUGCAAGUCGAACGGAAAGACCCUGCUUUUGUGGGGUGCUCGAGUGGCGAACGGGUGAGUAACACGUGAGUAACCUGCCCUUGACUUUGGGAUAACUUCAGGAAACUGGGGCUAAUACCGGAUAGGAGCUCCUGCUGCAUGGUGGGGGUUGGAAAGUUUCGGCGGUUGGGGAUGGACUCGCGGCUUAUCAGCUUGUUGGUGGGGUAGUGGCUUACCAAGGCUUUGACGGGUAGCCGGCCUGAGAGGGUGACCGGCCACAUUGGGACUGAGAUACGGCCCAGACUACUACGGGAGGCAGCAGUGGGGAAUAUUGCACAAUGGGAGGAAGCCUGAUGCAGCAACGCCGCGUGCGGGAUGACGGCCUUCGGGUUGUAAACCGCUUUCGCCUGUGACGAAGCGUGAGUGACGGUAAUGGGUAAAGAAGCACCGGCUAACUACGUG